RNAcentral lists this long non-coding RNA (694 nucleotides) under Panax ginseng (ginseng). Its description in RNAcentral is "long non-coding RNA (PGIN_LNC006586)". Lineage: Eukaryota; Viridiplantae; Streptophyta; Magnoliopsida; Apiales; Araliaceae. The record is from RNAcentral.
ACCUCUCUUCUAGCUCAGUAGUCUUCAUAUGCGACCUCUUACCAAUUACUUAUCUUUAUCGGUCUCUAAUCCCAUAUGGACUCCUGCCAUACAAUCUGUCUCCACUCACAGUCUCAAUUCCUCACGAAUUUAAUCCAAUAUAAACCCUCAUUAAAUUUCCUUAAUUCGUGCCUCCUCUUCCAAAAGAAAAAUUCAUUUCCUGGUUCUAUCGUUCAACAACAGUGCUACCACCCAUUUAUUCCUCUCAAUCAACCACUCCUCUAGUUCGUUCAAUAUUUGGUGAUUCCCCAAUCCUCCCAUCAUCUCCUAUACUUUCUCAUGGCUUAUAGCUUGCUUCUAAUCUCAGUUCUGACUCGAUAACAAUGAACUAUUUGCAAAACAAUCCUCAAAAAGAUGGCGUGGUGACUCGAGCAAUGUUACGCAAAAUGAAUUAAUCCACAACAGAGGCCCUCACUAUAGCUAUUGACAAGAUUUUUGAUAUUGAACCAUCAUGUUACUCACAAGCUGUUAAAUUUAGUAAAUGGCGUGAUGUUAUAUAUGGAUUUGGAGAUUAAUGCUUUAAUUUUGUAAGUUACGUGAGUUCUUGUUCCACAACCUCCUCAUAUGAAUAUUAUUGGUUGUAAAUGGGUUUACCGAAUUAAACAAAAAUUCAAUGGAGAGAUUGACAGAUAUAAGGCGUGCCUCUUUGCCAAGG